RNAcentral lists this long non-coding RNA (717 nucleotides) under Numida meleagris (helmeted guineafowl). RNAcentral describes it as "lncRNA (ENSNMEG00000007287.1)". Lineage: Eukaryota; Metazoa; Chordata; Aves; Galliformes; Numididae. The record is from RNAcentral.
UUCAGAAGGCAGAGCAGAGUCCCAGCUGGGACAGAUGUCUCAAGGCACAAAAUACGUCCUUUUCUCUGGAGAUCUACUUAUAGGUGAAGUGUCACUGUUUGGUGCUCUCUGGACAGAUUGUUAUCAGGGAACGUUUCUGCUGGUACAGAGGCUGAGACGUGUUCCACCACACUGGAGCCAUUUACGAAGGAACUACUUUGAGUUUUAGGUUUCCCCUAAAAGAAAGAUUCAUCUUAGCGUUAUUGGACAAAUGACUUCUAGAGGUGCCUAUUUUCUUUCCUAUGAAAGGAGCUUCCAUGACCAUCCUUAAAACAUGGGUCUCUCUUUCAGGAAGAUAAAGGACAAUUGCCAUAAACAGUGAUUAUAUUUAGUGAUAUCCACUGCUGGUAGUCAUGCAUAGACAUGCAUAGUCAUGACUUUUCACCUCACUCAAUGGACUUAAUUAAAAAAAAAAAGAGGAGAAUACUUAGGCUAAAUAUUGGCACGUGGGGAAGGAAAGGAAAAGAAGGUGGCAAACACCAAGCAAACAAGAAGGCAUUCAAGUGACUUAGGAAAGAAUCAAGGAAUGAAGUGGAGUGGAGGCAGCAAUGUGAGCUGGUUCUCCUUUCAUGCACCAGGAAGGGCCAAGAAGUUGUAUUUGUAUGAGUGGUUCCCUUAGAGUGUUCAUGAGAAAUCUGUGGUGAAUUCAAGCAACAAACAGGCAACCUUUUGUGUUCA